RNAcentral lists this unclassified non-coding RNA (200 nucleotides) under soil metagenome. RNAcentral's name for it is "partial contains internal transcribed spacer 2 and large subunit ribosomal RNA". The record is from RNAcentral.
CGAGCGUCAUUACAACCCUCAAGCUCUGCUUGGUAUUAGGCUUUACCUGCUACAGGUAGGCCGCAAAAUCAGUGGCGGUGCCAUUCGGCUUCAAGCGUAGUAAUUCUUCUCGCUCAGGAGUAUCGGUUGCGUACCUGCUAUAAAACCCCAAUUUAUCAAAGGUUGACCUCGGAUCAGGUAGGGAUACCCGCUGAACUUAA